RNAcentral lists this ribosomal RNA (534 nucleotides) under Triticum aestivum (bread wheat). Its description in RNAcentral is "partial small subunit ribosomal RNA". The record is from RNAcentral. Lineage: Eukaryota; Viridiplantae; Streptophyta; Magnoliopsida; Poales; Poaceae.
AUGCAUGAUCUGGUCGGCCUCGACCUGGACAGCUUCCCGCUCGACCACGAGUUUCCGGAGGACAAAGGACAAGAGGAAGAGGAUGAGUUGGACAUCGAAGGGGAGCCUUUGUUCGAGGACGAGCUCGCCAACCAAGCCGCCGGGGAGAAGCCGAAGCGCAAGAGCAAGCGGACGAAGGCAUACACUGCGGCCAAGGACAAGCUCCUUUGUGAGUGUUGGAGGGACAUUGGGCAAGACCCCAAGGUCGGCGCCGAACAAAAGGCAUCAACCUUUUGGAUUCGUGUUCACCGUGAGUUCCAUGAGCACAAGAAGUUUCCGCCAUACCAAAUGCAAAGCACGCGCGGGUGGGUGUCCAUUUCGAAGCGAUGGAGGGUGAUCCAACAAGAGUGCAACAAGUUUUGUGCCACUCUUGAGAGCAUCAAAGGCACGCCCCAUGAACGGCAUCGACAUGCAAGACAUGGUAUGCUAGCAAGCGGCCCGCUUUUGUGUCAUUCCAUUUAUGCUUGCAUGUCCAUUUCCAUAUCCAUUUGCUAA